Molecule: ribosomal RNA, 510 nt
Filed under: uncultured marine bacterium
Lineage: Bacteria
Description: bacterial SSU rRNA
Rfam family: Bacterial small subunit ribosomal RNA
Source: RNAcentral
UCCUACGGGAGGCAGCAGUGGGGAAUCUUAGACAAUGGGCGCAAGCCUGAUCUAGCGAUGCCGCGUGAGUGAUGAAGGCCUUAGGGUCGUAAAGCUCUUUCGCCUGUGAAGAUAAUGACGGUAGCAGGUAAAGAAACCCCGGCUAACUCCGUGCCAGCAGCCGCGGUAAUACGGAGGGGGUUAGCGUUGUUCGGAAUUACUGGGCGUAAAGCGCACGUAGGCGGACUAGUCAGUCAGAGGUGAAAUCCCAGGGCUCAACCCUGGAACUGCCUUUGAUACUGCUAGUCUUGAGUUCGAGAGAGGUAAGUGGAAUUCCGAGUGUAGAGGUGAAAUUCGUAGAUAUUCGGAGGAACACCAGUGGCGAAGGCGGCUUACUGGCUCGAUACUGACGCUGAGGUGCGAAAGUGUGGGGAGCAAACAGGAUUAGAUACCCUGGUAGUCCACACCGUAAACGAUGAAUGCCAGACGUCGGGUAGCAUGCUAUUCGGUGUCACACCUAACGGAUUAAGC